Molecule: ribosomal RNA, 427 nt
Filed under: uncultured Lysobacterales bacterium
Lineage: Bacteria; Pseudomonadati; Pseudomonadota; Gammaproteobacteria; Lysobacterales
Description: bacterial SSU rRNA
Rfam family: Bacterial small subunit ribosomal RNA
Source: RNAcentral
AGUGGGGAAUAUUGGACAAUGGGGGAAACCCUGAUCCAGCGACGCCGCGUGGGUGAAGAAGGCCUGCGGGUUGUAAAGCCCUUUCGGUGGGGAAGAAAAGCCUCGACCUAACACGUCGGGGUAUUGACGUAACCCACAAAAGAAGCACCGGCUAACUCUGUGCCAGCAGCCGCGGUAAUACAGAGGGUGCGAGCGUUAAUCGGAAUUACUGGGCGUAAAGCGCGCGUAGGCGGCUUUGCAAGUCGGAUGUGAAAUCCCCGGGCUCAACCUGGGAACUGCAUUCGAGACUGCAUUGCUUGAGUAUGGGAGAGGGAGGCGGAAUUUCAGGUGUAGCGGUGAAAUGCGUAGAUAUCUGAAGGAACAUCAGUGGCGAAAGCGGCCUCCUGGACCAAUACUGACGCUCAAGUGCGAAAGCGUGGGGAGCAAA